This 763-nucleotide ribosomal RNA is filed under the name uncultured Streptococcus sp. RNAcentral describes it as "bacterial SSU rRNA". It matches the Rfam family "Bacterial small subunit ribosomal RNA", at positions 28 to 776 of the family's 1533-position model. The record is from RNAcentral. Lineage: Bacteria; Bacillati; Bacillota; Bacilli; Lactobacillales; Streptococcaceae.
GACGAACGCUGGCGGCGUGCCUUAUACAUGCAAGUAGAACGCUGAAGGAGGAGCUUGCUUCUCUGGAUGAGUUGCGAACGGGUGAGUAACGCGUAGGUAACCUGCCUGGUAGCGGGGGAUAACUAUUGGAAACGAUAGCUAAUACCGCAUAAUAGUAGAUGUUGCAUGACAUUUGCUUAAAAGGUGCAAUUGCAUCACUACCAGAUGGACCUGCGUUGUAUUAGCUAGUUGGUGGGGUAACGGCUCACCAAGGCGACGAUACAUAGCCGACCUGAGAGGGUGAUCGGCCACACUGGGACUGAGACACGGCCCAGACUCCUACGGGAGGCAGCAGUAGGGAAUCUUCGGCAAUGGACGGAAGUCUGACCGAGCAACGCCGCGUGAGUGAAGAAGGUUUUCGGAUCGUAAAGCUCUGUUGUAAGAGAAGAACGAGUGUGAGAGUGGAAAGUUCACACUGUGACGGUAUCUUACCAGAAAGGGACGGCUAACUACGUGCCAGCAGCCGCGGUAAUACGUAGGUCCCGAGCGUUGUCCGGAUUUAUUGGGCGUAAAGCGAGCGCAGGCGGUUAGAUAAGUCUGAAGUUAAAGGCUGUGGCUUAACCAUAGUACGCUUUGGAAACUGUUUAACUUGAGUGCAAGAGGGGAGAGUGGAAUUCCAUGUGUAGCGGUGAAAUGCGUAGAUAUAUGGAGGAACACCGGUGGCGAAAGCGGCUCUCUGGCUUGUAACUGACGCUGAGGCUCGAAAGCGUGGGGAGCAAACAGG